Molecule: ribosomal RNA, 424 nt
Filed under: uncultured prokaryote
Description: bacterial SSU rRNA
Rfam family: Bacterial small subunit ribosomal RNA
Source: RNAcentral
UGGGGAAUCUUAGACAAUGGGGGAAACCCUGAUCUAGCCAUGCCGCGUGAGUGAAGAAGGCCCUAGGGUCGUAAAGCUCUUUCACCAGGGAAGAUAAUGACGGUACCUGGAGAAGAAACCCCGGCUAACUCCGUGCCAGCAGCCGCGGUAAUACGGAGGGGGUUAGCGUUGUUCGGAAUUACUGGGCGUAAAGCGCGCGUAGGCGGACUAUUAAGUCAGGGGUGAAAUCCCGGGGCUCAACCCCGGAACUGCCUUUGAUACUGGUAGUCUUGAGUUCGAGAGAGGUGAGUGGAAUUCCGAGUGUAGAGGUGAAAUUCGUAGAUAUUCGGAGGAACACCAGUGGCGAAGGCGGCUCACUGGCUCGAUACUGACGCUGAGGUGCGAAAGUGUGGGGAGCAAACAGGAUUAGAUACCCCCGUAGUCC